This 253-nucleotide ribosomal RNA is filed under the name uncultured prokaryote. Its description in RNAcentral is "partial 16S ribosomal RNA". It matches the Rfam family "Bacterial small subunit ribosomal RNA", at positions 525 to 777 of the family's 1533-position model. The record is from RNAcentral.
ACGAAGGGGGCUAGCGUUGCUCGGAAUGACUGGGCGUAAAGGGCGCGUAGGCGGAUGGCACAGUCAGAUGUGAAAUUCCCGGGCUUAACCUGGGGGCUGCAUUUGAUACGUGUGAUCUGGAGUGAGGAAGAGGGUCGUGGAAUUCCCAGUGUAGAGGUGAAAUUCGUAGAUAUUGGGAAGAACACCGGUGGCGAAGGCGGCGACCUGGUCCUUGACUGACGCUGAGGCGCGAAAGCGUGGGGAGCAAACAGGA